AUAUUGUGUGAAAAUGAAAUUUGCAUAAACGAAAACAACAAAUAUUCGUACGGUACAACUUCAGCACUAAUUGCAAUUUUGAAAAUGCUAGAGGUAGAUCCAAGCAAGCAUCCAUCUUUCUCCAAGCAUUUGCUUGAACGAGGCUUUAAUGAUAAAAUACGAAUGCCGGGUGCUUUUGUUAAAGAAAACAAGAAGAUGUUGGCGAAGACGGCCUUACUGAAAACGAAUGAAGGGAUGUUAUGGGAAGUCAAGAUAGCGAGGGAGACGUCUGAUUACUUCAUAUGUAAAGGAGACUGGCCACGGUUUGUGGUGCAUCAUAUGUUGGAGCUAGGGGACAUGUUGAUAUUCUACCUCGUCGACAAGUCCACCUUCCAUGUCGUGCCCUACUCCAAAAAACCUUGUACCAACAUUAGACAUUUGGAGGAUCUCAGCAGUUCCGAAGAAGAGGAAAAGAACACUGAAUUUGGAACUUCAAGAGGAUGUAAGAAAGUUAAAACUUAGCCAAAAGCAUUGUCAGACACAAAUUUUUCAAAGGAACUCCACCAAUCAAGAAUUGAUAGGAUGUCAAAGGCAAUAAAAGAAAUAGCAUUCAAGAAACAACAGAUUCAAAAACCAUUCGAAAAAGGUGAUGAAGUUGAAGUGGCAAGCCAAGAAGAUGGACUCAUAGGUUCUUACUACACAGCAACUAUUAUUUCUCCCAUUGGCUCUUAUCUUUACAGAGUCAAGUACAAGACAUUGUUUUCUGAUGAUGAGUCUGUGCCCCACUAGAGGAUGUUGUCACUGCAUCCAAGGUCCGCCCUGUGCCACCUGAUCAACAUAAAAUAUUGUCAGAAAACAACUUCCGUCUCUACGAUGUGGUUGAUGUAUUUGCCAAUGAUGGAUGGUGGUUUGGAUUCAUCAGUGGAAUAGUUGGAGAAGAGUUGUAUGUCUACUUCCCUACUACUGCAGAUAACAUUGCAUAUCCUCCUGAUGUCUUGAGACUUCAUCAAGAAUGGUCUAAUGGCAAGUGGAUAUUUCCUCCAGAACAAGGAAUUUUCAACUGGGAUGUAGCUAAAUGGGAGGAAAAAUGUGUGCGAGGAAGAUGUGAAAUCGGAAGGAAAUAGCAUAUGAUCAAGUGCCCAUUGAAGAACAUGCAAGUCAGUAUUUCCAACAAUUACAUAAACAUCAUUAAUUUCUGCAUCUUCGCUUGUUAAUGUACUACUCUUGCUAUCUUGAUCUCCGAUCUCUUCUAUUUCCCCAGACAUCUCUUUCUAUAAAUCUUGAAUGUAGCCGGUAAUAAUGACGCUACUUGUUCUAAGUUCUGGUCCCUCUUCUCAGUUUUCAUUUUUUUGUUGGUUGAAAUAAAAAUUUUAUAUCAACCAAGUGUAAUAUUUACAAAGCACUAGUUCCAUUUGGACUCUAGAAACUAGAUCUCAACAUUUAUCUACUUCAC
RNA transcript from Capsicum annuum, 1432 nucleotides. RefSeq lists it as uncharacterized. The record is from RefSeq and is a predicted model, not a curated record. The transcript has 4 exons. NCBI's taxonomy places the organism in Eukaryota, Viridiplantae, Streptophyta, Magnoliopsida, Solanales, Solanaceae.